Molecule: RNA transcript, 1447 nt
Organism: Neomonachus schauinslandi (Hawaiian monk seal)
Lineage: Eukaryota; Metazoa; Chordata; Mammalia; Carnivora; Phocidae
Gene: RSRP1
Gene name: arginine and serine rich protein 1
Exons: 4
Source: RefSeq, a predicted model, not a curated record
GGGAGCCACGCCCACCGCUCCAACGUUUCUGCGCAUGCUCUGCGCGUCAGCUUCUGGUAUUUUAGGCGCGUCUGCGGAGGUCGGCGUCCGGAGGGCGGAGGGAGAGGUCGAGUAUCUGGUUUUCAAGAGCCGCUUUGAAAAGUCUCUCUUCAUCUUCAGCUUCGGAAAGGAAGGCCUCUGUUCGUCCUUUCCUUUGGCCUUCGGUGUGGCGUUGGCGGCCUGUGGUGGCGCCUACUUUCCGGGUAGGGAUCCUGAGAGACGGAGGGAAGUUUGCAGCCUCGGGCCGAGAUGUCUCAGUACGUGAACGACCUGUGGCCCGGCUCGCCGCAGGACAAGGAGUCCCCCUCGACGUCUCGGUCGGGCCGAUCCAGCCGCCUGUCCUCGGCGUCCAGGAGCCGCUCGUCUUCUGGGAGCUCUCGGUCCCGCUCCAGCGGCUCGAGCCGGGCGUCGUCGCGGAGUCGGAGCCGGCCCCGAAGGAGGAGCAGGUCCAGGUCCUGGUCCAGGCGGCGCCACCAGAGGAAGUACAGGCGCCACUCGCGCUCCUGCUCGCGCAGCCGCUCGCGCUCCCGCGGCCGCCGGUACCGGGACAGGCGCUACGGCGCGUCCAACAGAUACCGCCGGUCGCCGUGGCGGCCUCGCUCUCGCAGCCGGUCCGGCUCGCGGGGACGCACGUAUUCCCGACGGGCCUACGCGCUGCCGCGGGGGCGGCGCUAUUACGGCUUCGGCCGCACCGUGUACCCGGAGGAACGCAGAAGAUGGAGGGGCAGCUCCCGGACCAGGUCGCGGAGCCCCACCCCUUUUCGCUUGAGUGAGAAAGAUCGAAUGGAGCUGUUAGAAAUAGCAAAAGCCAAUGCAGCAAAAGCUUUAGGGACAGCUAACUUUGACUUGCCGGCUAGUCUCAGAAAAGUUCUUGCAUCUAAAGAGGUGAACCGUGGAACAGCUGUACCAAACAGUGGUGCAACGUUUGAGGUAAGUACUCUAGGUUUAUCCAAACAAAAUCUUCAGAAAGCUACUGUUGGAAAGAUCUAAUUGGCCAUUUUUAUUUGAUUUAUUUUAGAGUGCUUCUUGGAAAGCCUAAAUAUAAUUAAGAUCAAAAUAGCAGCUCUAGUGAAGGUCUCUCCCUCGUGAAAAUGGGAGAUUAGUGAUCUUCAUUUUCAUGUGACACAGUAUUAAUUACUUUCAUAGUUGUAGGUGGUAUUUGGCGAUUUCUAUGUACCUGUCGACUUUUUCUAACUAGCCUUUACAGAGUAUUUUAUCUCUAGUUUUCAUUUGCAGCAUUAUGUUCCCACAAAUUCUGUAUUCAACAUACAGUAUAGUUUAUCUGCUUUAUUUCUGUCUUAUAGAAAUCAUGAAUGUGGUCUCCAGACAUUGAUGAAGAAAAUCUGUUGCUGUUGGAAAGACAAGCAGAAGAUGGAACUAAAAAUCCCAGUGAAAAACCUUCCCAGCA